GCGAUGAAGGACGUGCUAAUCUGCGAUAAGCGCCGGUAAGGUGAUAUGAACCGUUAUAACCGGCGAUUUCCGAAUGGGGAAACCCAGUGUGAUUCGUCACACUAUCAUUAACUGAAUCCAUAGGUUAAUGAGGCGAACCGGGGGAACUGAAACAUCUAAGUACCCCGAGGAAAAGAAAUCAACCGAGAUUCCCCCAGUAGCGGCGAGCGAACGGGGAGGAGCCCAGAGCCUGAAUCAGCAUGUGUGUUAGUGGAAGCGUCUGGAAAGGCGCGCGAUACAGGGUGACAGCCCCGUACACAAAAGCGCAUGUGCUGUGAGCUCGAUGAGUAGGGCGGGACACGUGGUAUCCUGUCUGAAUAUGGGGGGACCAUCCUCCAAGGCUAAAUACUCCUGACUGACCGAUAGUGAACCAGUACCGUGAGGGAAAGGCGAAAAGAACCCCGGCGAGGGGAGUGAAAAAGAACCUGAAACCGUGUACGUACAAGCAGUGGGAGCACAGGUUUACCUGUGUGACUGCGUACCUUUUGUAUAAUGGGUCAGCGACUUAUAUUCUGUAGCAAGGUUAACCGAAUAGGGGAGCCGGAGGGAAACCGAGUCUUAAUUGGGCGUUAAGUUGCAGGGUAUAGACCCGAAACCCGGUGAUCUAGCCAUGGGCAGGUUGAAGGUUGGGUAACACUAACUGGAGGACCGAACCGACUAAUGUUGAAAAAUUAGCGGAUGACCUGUGGCUGGGGGUGAAAGGCCAAUCAAACCGGGAGAUAGCUGGUUCUCCCCGAAAGCUAUUUAGGUAGCGCCUCGUGAAUUCAUCUCCGGGGGUAGAGCACUGUUUCGGCUAGGGGGCCAUCCCGGCUUACCAACCCGAUGCAAACUGCGAAUACCGGAGAAUGUUAUCACGGGAGACACACGGCGGGUGCUAACGUCCGUCGUGAAGAGGGAAACAACCCAGACCGCCAGCUAAGGUCCCAAAGUCAUGGUUAAGUGGGAAACGAUGUGGGAAGGCCCAGACAGCCAGGAUGUUGGCUUAGAAGCAGCCAUCAUUUAAAGAAAGCGUAAUAGCUCACUGGUCGAGUCGGCCUGCGCGGAAGAUGUAACGGGGCUAAACCAUGCACCGAAGCUGCGGCAGCGAACGUAUCACUUAAAGCGAUUCAGCGGGUUACGAUUGACGGAGCGA
This 1171-nucleotide ribosomal RNA is filed under the name Salmonella enterica subsp. enterica serovar Newport. RNAcentral's name for it is "partial 23S ribosomal RNA". It matches the Rfam family "Bacterial large subunit ribosomal RNA", at positions 46 to 1224 of the family's 2925-position model. Lineage: Bacteria; Pseudomonadati; Pseudomonadota; Gammaproteobacteria; Enterobacterales; Enterobacteriaceae. The record is from RNAcentral.